Molecule: ribosomal RNA, 492 nt
Filed under: uncultured bacterium
Lineage: Bacteria
Description: partial 16S ribosomal RNA
Rfam family: Bacterial small subunit ribosomal RNA
Source: RNAcentral
AGUGAACGCUGGCGGUAGGCCUAACACAUGCAAGUCGAACGGCAGCACAGUAAGAGCUUGCUCUUACGGGUGGCGAGUGGCGGACGGGUGAGGAAUACAUCGGAAUCUACUUUUUCGUAGGGGAUAACGUAGGGAAACUUACGCUAAUACCGCAUACGACCUACGGGUGAAAGCAGGGGAUCUUCGGACCUUGCGCGAUUGAAUGAGCCGAUGUCGGAUUAGCUAGUUGGCGGGGUAAAGGCCCACCAAGGCGACGAUCCGUAGCUGGUCUGAGAGGAUGAUCAGCCACACUGGAACUGAGACACGGUCCAGACUCCUACGGGAGGCAGCAGUGGGGAAUAUUGGACAAUGGGCGCAAGCCUGAUCCAGCCAUACCGCGUGGGUGAAGAAGGCCUUCGGGUUGUAAAGCCCUUUUGUUGGGAAAGAAAAGCAGCAGGUUAAUACCCCGCUGUUCUGACGGUACCCAAAGAUUAAGCACCGGCUAACUUCGUG